UUAGCUUGGAGGGUUUGAUCCUGGCUCAGGGUGAACGCUGGCGGCGUGCCUAACACAUGCAAGUCGAGCGGUGCAGCUGGAGGCUUUUGCCGAAGGCUGCAUAGCGGCGGACGGGUGCGUAACGCGUAGGAACGUGCCCCCUGGAGGCGGAUAGCCGUGGGAAACUGCGGGUAAACCGCCGUAGACUCGGGAGAGUAGAGGCCGAAAGGCGCCAGGGGAGCGGCCUGCGUCCCAUCAGGUAGUUGGUAGGGUAACG
RNAcentral lists this ribosomal RNA (256 nucleotides) under Fervidobacterium changbaicum. RNAcentral's name for it is "16S rRNA. Bacterial SSU". It matches the Rfam family "Bacterial small subunit ribosomal RNA", at positions 1 to 262 of the family's 1533-position model. Lineage: Bacteria; Thermotogati; Thermotogota; Thermotogae; Thermotogales; Fervidobacteriaceae. The record is from RNAcentral.